Molecule: ribosomal RNA, 330 nt
Filed under: uncultured eukaryote
Lineage: Eukaryota
Description: partial 18S ribosomal RNA
Rfam family: Eukaryotic small subunit ribosomal RNA
Source: RNAcentral
CCCUUAGAUGUUCUGGGCCGCACGCGCGCUACACUGACGAUGUCAGAGAGUGUCUCCUUCACCGAGAGGUGUGGGUAAUCUUUUAAACAUCGUCGUGCUGGGGAUAGAUCAUUGCAAUUUUUGAUCUUAAACGAGGAAUUCCUAGUAAGCGCGAGUCAUCAGCUCGCGCUGAUUACGUCCCUGCCCUUUGUACACACCGCCCGUCGCUACUACCGAUUGAAUGGUUUAGUGAGAUCUUCGGAUUGGCGCCACUGCGGCUCAGCAAUGGGCUCGGUGGAUGCCGAAAAGUUGAUCAAACUUGAUCAUUUAGAGGAAGUAAAAGUCGUAACA